Long non-coding RNA from Hirundo rustica (Barn swallow), 958 nucleotides. RefSeq lists it as uncharacterized. The transcript is spliced from 3 exons. NCBI's taxonomy places the organism in Eukaryota, Metazoa, Chordata, Aves, Passeriformes, Hirundinidae. The record is from RefSeq and is a predicted model, not a curated record.
AUUUGUCUCAUUGAUUUGUGUUGGGUUGGGGAUCUACAGGGCUGGGCUACUUAUGUCAGUGAGCUGGGAUGGAUUCUGGGAUCUCAUCUGAUUCAGGUGUAGGAAGCCUCUUCCAGCUUAACAUACAAAGAAAAAAACCUGUUGCAAAGCAAGGUUGAAAUGAGAUGCCACCAAGUCAAGCAGCUCCUUAGCCAAAAGCUUUGGCUGAAAAACAAGAAUGAAAGAAAGUGAUUAAUGAGGAGAAUUGGAUAGAACUGCACUGUGCUUGAGAAGGAAAACGCUAUCCUUGAAACUAUUCCACAGCUGUUGCUUUUAUGUUCCCUCUGGUGUUCAAGCUAAAUCUGCAAGGAACAUUAGCUCCUUGAAAUGAGCAGUAGUUUCCCUCCUAGGUAAAUACUAAAAAUCUGGCAAUUCUGACCUAUUCAGCACUUAAUGUCUCUGCAGACAGAUGAUCUGCUGCCUGCCAGUGCUCGGAUCUACCAGGACCAGCCCACUCCUGCCUCUCUGAUAAUUUUAGUUGUUAAAGCUUUUUAUCAAGGGCCCUUGCAAACACAAUUCAGACACCCACUCUCUCACACACAGCAUAGAUACAUGCUCAUAACACUAAGAAAAUACACAGUGCCAAAAGAUAGGAUGUGACGGGACCAAAUGAGAAGUAAAUGACAGAACAAAAUAGUUUCCCAUUCACUGUUGCUUGUCACAUAGAGAUAAGGAUACAUCCUCAAAUUUAGGCACUUGGAAGGAAAGACAGGAAAGUAGCACACACUUUCAAGAUAUUCUCUGUAAGACAAUAAAAGACAAUCUCAGAGAAACAGAGGAUGGUUCCUUGCUACCUUUUCUGCAAAACCUUAUUUGUCUUUCAACUCUAAUGUGUUCUCCUGCCUCUAUGAAUUUUCCUCUGCUCUGCUGGCCUCCGUUUUUUGCAAGCAGAUUUCUGAAGCCUUGGCAAUAGUACAGC